AUGGCGCGGCAGCGUACGUGCUCUGCCUCCGCGCUCGCGCUCGCCGUGGCGUUGGUCGUCGGAAUCCUGGCGUCCAUCCCUGUCGAGGUGGAAUCCAUCGGCGUGUGCAACGGGAUGCAAGGCGACAGCCAGUCCCUGCCAUCGCGGGCCGACGUGGUGCAGUUCUACGGGACCAAGGGCAUCAGCGCCAUGCGCAUCUACGCCCCGGACCCCGAGACGCUCCAGGCCCUCGGCGACACCGGCAUCGACCUCAUCAUGGACGUGGGCAACGGCAACCUUUCCGCCCUCGCCUCCGACGCCGGCUUGGCGGCGUCCUGGGUCCAAGAAAACGUGCUGGCCUACCCGCGCGUCAGCAUCAAGUAUAUCGCCGCCGGCAACGAGGUGGAAGGCGGCGACACGCAGAACAUCGUCCGGGCCAUGAAGAACCUCAACGCCGCGCUCUCCAAGGCCAGCCGCCCUGACGUGAAGGUUUCCACGGCGGUCAAGAUGAGCGUGCUCGCGUCCUCCUCGCCUCCCUCCAGCGGCGUGUUCAAAGACGCGUAUAUGUCGGAGGUGACCCAGCUGCUCAAGGACACCAGCGCGCCGCUGCUCGCCAACGUGUACCCCUACAUCGCCAAAAGGGACACCCCGACCAUCGACCUCAGCUUCGCGCUCUUCCAGCCGAACACCAACCCGGUGAACGACAACGGCAACGGCCUCACCUACACCAACCUCUUCGACGCCAUGGUCGACGCUAUGUACACGGCCAUGGAGCAGGCGGGUGCGUCGGACGUGCCCAUCGUGGUCUCGGAGAGCGGGUGGCCAUCCGCCGGCGACGACCUGGCAACCCCCACCAACGCGCAGGCGUACAACCAGAACCUGAUCGACCACGUCGGCAAAGGCACGCCCAAGAGGGCCGGGCCCCUGGAGACGUACAUCUUCGCCAUGUUCAACGAGAACCAAAAGGGAGGGCUCGAGACUGAGAGGAACUUCGGGUUGUUCAACGGCCCCGAUAAGACGCCGGUGUACCCUAUAAGGUUUACCAAUUAG
This 1029-nucleotide ribosomal RNA is filed under the name Triticum aestivum (bread wheat). Its description in RNAcentral is "partial small subunit ribosomal RNA". Lineage: Eukaryota; Viridiplantae; Streptophyta; Magnoliopsida; Poales; Poaceae. The record is from RNAcentral.